UCGCCCAUUUUUUUCAACCUCAUUUGUAUCGUCCGGUCAGGGCUGGGAGCAGUGGGGAGGCGGCCGGCGAUCCCCGGGCGAUUCGUCUACGCUGUUGGCCAUCUCUUCGUCCGUGCCACCGGCCAUCUCUCCAUCCACCACCACUGCAGCAGAGCUCUCCCCCUCCUCGAGUUGACCCGAAUUCGGGUGGGGGUGUUGUUCCAGCCAUCGAGUUCAAGUGGACGCAACUCCUUUUGUUUUGUGCGAAAUUGCCCAAAAUAGGUUAAAAUUCUGUAGUAGUUUAAGUAAAAUAUUGGGCACAUAUAUGUUCAAAUAGAUUCUGUUGCAUAUAUUGCAUGUUUUCAAUAUGUGAAAUGGGUGUAAAUUUUGAAUAUAUAGUGAGCUAGCUGUUCCCUUCAUCCAAAUUUGAAAAUGUAACAUAUAUACAACUGGUGUCAUUGGGCCAUUUUUGCAGUUAAAGUUUGGUCCAUAGAGCUGCUAA
Molecule: long non-coding RNA, 481 nt
Organism: Panicum virgatum (switchgrass)
Lineage: Eukaryota; Viridiplantae; Streptophyta; Magnoliopsida; Poales; Poaceae
Exons: 3
Source: RefSeq, a predicted model, not a curated record